Molecule: long non-coding RNA, 944 nt
Organism: Myxocyprinus asiaticus (Chinese sucker)
Lineage: Eukaryota; Metazoa; Chordata; Actinopteri; Cypriniformes; Catostomidae
Exons: 3
Source: RefSeq, a predicted model, not a curated record
AUUUUAUUCAGUUUCACAAAUCACGAGUGUCACAGGUCUAUUUGCUUUUAGGACACAAUUGGUUAGGUUUAUGUGUUGGUUAAGGGGUAAAGAUGUCUGUUUUGUUCACCUCUCAUUUGCUUUUAGGACACUAUCGGUUAGGUUUAUGUGUUGGUUAAGGGUAAAGAUGUCUGUUUUGUUCACCUCUCAUUUGCUUUUAGGACACUAUUGGUUAGGUUUAGGUGUUGGUUAAGGGUAAGGAUGUCUGUUUUGUUCACCUCUCAUUUGCUUUUAGGACACUAUUGGUUAGGUUUAGGUGUUGGUUAAGGGUAAGGAUGUCUCUUUUGUUCACCUCUCAUUUGCUUUUAGGACACUAUUGGUUAGGUUUAGGUGUUGGUUAAGGGUAAAGAUGUCUGUUUUGUUUACUUCUCAUUUGCUUUUAGGACACUAUCGGUAAGGUUUAGGUGUUGGUUAAGGGUAAAGAUGUCUCUUUUGUCCACCUCUCAUUUGCUUUUAGGACACUAUCGGUUAGGUUUAGGUGUUGGUUAAGGGUAAAGAUGUCUGUUUUGUUUACUUCUCAUUUGCUUUUAGGACACUAUCGGUUAGGUUUAGGUGUUGGUUAAGGGUAAAGAUGUCUGUUUUGUUUACCUCUCAUUUGCUUUUAGGACACUAUCGGUUAGGUUUAGGUGUUGGUUAAGGGUAAAGAUGUCUGUUUUGUUUACUUCUCAUUUGCUUUUAGGACACUAUCGGUAAGGUUUAGGUGUUGGUUAAGGGUAAAGAUGUCUCUUUUGUCCACCUCUCAUUUGCUUUUAGGACACUAUCGGUUAGGUUUAGGUGUUGGUUAAGGGUAAAGAUGUCUGUUUUGUUUACCUCUCAUUUGCUGUUAGGACACUAUCGGUUAGGUUUAGGUGUUGGUUAAGGGUAAAGAUGUCUGUUUUGUUUACUUCUUAUUUGCUUUUAGGACG